This is a long non-coding RNA of Ruditapes philippinarum (Manila clam), 372 nucleotides long. RefSeq lists it as uncharacterized. The transcript is spliced from 3 exons. NCBI's taxonomy places the organism in Eukaryota, Metazoa, Mollusca, Bivalvia, Venerida, Veneridae. The record is from RefSeq and is a predicted model, not a curated record.
UAAGAUUAUAAAACGAGACAGUUCAAUAAUGGAAUACAAGUUAUUUCUUAAGUAAUCGAUCAAAGUUUUAACGAUAAACUACUUUAAUCUAAACGUUGAAAACAGGAAAUUACGUAAAACUAAAAAGUAUUAUCAAACUGUUAUGUAUGUUUGCGUGUUGUGAUUCAUCUUGUUAUGAUCGCUAAGAUUUUACCAACGUUGGGCAAGUAAGAAUCUCCUUGUAAUGAAUGAAGUAGAAGAUAAUAGUUCAGAUAAUGAAGAAAUGGUGAAUUAUGACAAUGGGAGUGAAGAAUAUGUUAAAAGGAAGGGGAAGAUCCAGGGCUUUUUCAAACGCAUGAAACAAAUCAUCAAAAAGAGACCCCCCAAAAAACA